Molecule: long non-coding RNA, 342 nt
Organism: Uloborus diversus
Lineage: Eukaryota; Metazoa; Arthropoda; Arachnida; Araneae; Uloboridae
Exons: 3
Source: RefSeq, a predicted model, not a curated record
ACAAAAACAAGAUAUGUUCUAAAAACUGUGGAAAAUAUGGCUUUUGCAUAAAAGAAGGAGGAACAGAGCAGUGCAGGUGUUUACCGAAGUUUUCGGAGAUGGUGAAUGGAUCCUGUAUAUUGAAUGCAACAGCUGUGUGCGCAUCAAAACGUCUAGCCAGCGACUCUUCGAAGUGCGAUUGCUCUGGAAUCUUGAAGUAUGCUGAUGAUGGAAUAACUUGCAAAAAGAGAACAUGCAUUGACUUAGACGUUCAAGAGGAAUGCAAGAAGGUUGGGGCUAUGCGGUGCGAAAACAAAUGGGACAAGCCAGGAAUGGACUCAGGCGCUGGUUACGAAUGUGUGU